RNAcentral lists this ribosomal RNA (846 nucleotides) under uncultured marine bacterium. RNAcentral describes it as "bacterial SSU rRNA". It matches the Rfam family "Bacterial small subunit ribosomal RNA", at positions 54 to 901 of the family's 1533-position model. The record is from RNAcentral.
CAUGCAAGUCGAACGCGAAAGUCUCCUUCGGGGGGCGAGUAGAGUGGCGAACGGGUGAGUAAUCCAUCGAUAACCUGCCUUCGUGUGGGGGAUAGCCACGGGAAACCGUGGGUAAUACCGCAUGACACCAGCUGGUCUCCUGACUGGCUGGUCAAAGUCUUCGGACGCGUGGAGAGGGGUCGAUGGCGUAUCAGCUUGUUGGUGGGGUAACGGCCCACCAAGGCUAUGACGCGUAGCGGGACUGAGAGGUUGGCCCGCCACACCGGAACUGAGACACUGUCCGGACACCUACGGGUGGCUGCAGUCGAGAAUCUUCGGCAAUGGGCGCAAGCCUGACCGAGCGACGCCGCGUGCGGGAGGAAGGCCUCCGGGUCGUAAACCGCUUUCAGGGGGUAUGAAUAAGCCUUCGGGUGAUGACGUCAACCCCAGAAGAAGCCCCGGCUAAACUCGUGCCAGCAGCCGCGGUAAUACGAGUGGGGCAAACGUUGUUCGGAAUCACUGGGCAUAAAGGGCGUGUAGGCGGUCCGAGUAGUCAUGGUUGAAAUCCCGCGGCUCAACCGCGGAACAGGCUGUGAAACUGGCGGACUAGAGGAUGGCAGGGGGGUGUGGAACGAUCGGUGGAGCGGUGAAAUGCGUAGAUAUCGGUCGGAACACCGGUGGCGAAGGCGACACCCUGGGCCAUUCCUGACGCUGAGGCGCGAAAGCGUGGGGAGCAAACAGGAUUAGAUACCCUGGUAGUCCACGCCGUANACGAUGGGCACUAGGAGGGGGUCCUUCUCCGGGAUCCCUUUCGGAGCAAAUGUCUUAAGUGCCCCGCCUGGGGAGUACGCGCGCAAGCGUGAAACU